RNAcentral lists this ribosomal RNA (460 nucleotides) under uncultured bacterium. RNAcentral describes it as "partial 16S ribosomal RNA". It matches the Rfam family "Bacterial small subunit ribosomal RNA", at positions 338 to 795 of the family's 1533-position model. The record is from RNAcentral.
CCUACGGGUGGCAGCAGUGAGGAAUAUUGGUCAAUGGACGAGAGUCUGAACCAGCCAAGUAGCGUGAAGGAUGACUGCCCUAUGGGUUGUAAACUUCUUUUAUAAAGGAAUAAAACGAGGCACGUGUGCCUUUUUGCAUGUACUUUAUGAAUAAGGAUCGGCUAACUCCGUGCCAGCAGCCGCGGUAAUACGGAGGAUCCGAGCGUUAUCCGGAUUUAUUGGGUUUAAAGGGAGCGUAGAUGGGUUGUUAAGUCAGUUGUGAAAGUUUGCGGCUCAACCGUAAAAGUGAAAUUGAUACUGGCAGUCGUGAGUACAGUUGAGGUAGGCGGAAUGCGUGGUGUAGCGGUGAAAUGCUUAGAUAUCACGAAGAACCCCGAUUGCGAAGGCAGCUUACUAAACUGUGACUGACAUUGAUGCUCGAAAGUGUGGGUAUCAAACAGGAUUAGAUACCCCAGUAGUC